AGUUGACCUCGGAUCAGGUAGGAGUACCCGCUGAACUUAAGCAUAU
Molecule: ribosomal RNA, 46 nt
Filed under: Hirsutella citriformis
Lineage: Eukaryota; Fungi; Ascomycota; Sordariomycetes; Hypocreales; Ophiocordycipitaceae
Description: partial 28S ribosomal RNA
Source: RNAcentral